RNAcentral lists this long non-coding RNA (1388 nucleotides) under Olea europaea subsp. europaea. The record is from RNAcentral. Lineage: Eukaryota; Viridiplantae; Streptophyta; Magnoliopsida; Lamiales; Oleaceae.
GAUAAAAAAAAAUAUAGUAUAAAAGUCCUAAUUGAAUAGUUUGGAGAGUUUUAAAUUUUUAUUAAGUAGUAAAAAGUAGGAAAAACAAUUAAUUUAAUAAAAUAUAAAUAACUAAUUAUAUAAUUGUAAAAUGCACGACAGUCAAAUCAAAUGCAUAAUAUACUAUAGCAAAAUCAAAGCUACAAUGUACUACAAUCAAACCAAAUGAAAUCUCAUCCAAUAUCCAAAGUUUAUAACAAAAUGUUUGGAGAUGUCAUCUAUAAAUAAGUGAGUCAAUAAAUGGGUAAGCAACCUUUUGUGCCUUUUAAUCCAAUUGACUAAAAGUUAAAAAAGGUUGAAAAAUUUAUAAUUAUUAAACCUGUUUAAGAAUUGGAAAAAUUGGGAAAAAAAUAAAUUAAUUUCAACAUUGAUUUUAUUUUUCCUAAUUUUCUUUAUUUUCGGAUCGGGGGGACUUUAAAGAAAUACUCUUAAUAUUGAAAUCAUUUUGAAAUAUCAGUAGAAGAGUCGCUCCACACAAUUAUGCCUUGACUAAAACUAGGGAUGAACGCGAUUCGGUUUGGGCGGUUUGUGUUAUAUUUCAACUCAAACCGUUUUAUGCGGUUUGAAAUUUUUCCAAACCAAACCAAAUCAUAAUUUGCGGUUUAGUUCGAUUUUAACCUAUCAACAUUAUAGUAAUUUAUUUAACAUAAGUUAACAUAGAAGUUUAAACGAGAACUAAUAAUGUUACCAUAAAAUCGAUGAAUAAAUUAUUUUCAAAGUUGGUUGCUAAAAGAUGUUAUAAGUACAUCUUUUUCAUUUUUAUUUACCUUUUAUUGUUUGAUAUUCAUAUUGUCAUAUAGCGAAUGGUGUAAAGGUAGAGUUACAUUCUACUAUUAUAGGUUGGUUAAAACUUCUUUCGUCUUGCUAGUGAGAUGUUAAAUAAAGAUUGAACAGGAUAUGUUUAUAUGUACAAAGAUUGAUAAAAUUUCGGCUUACUGGAAAUUGACGAAUUUCAUUAUCUAACUAUUUUAUGAAAGUAGAAAGUAGUAGUACUAGUUAGGGAACUUAAACAUUUUCACACAAUCAAUACAGUCCUUCGUUCUUUCCAAAUCGCGAACAAAUUCGUUAAUCAUUUAGGCACACAAAAAGUUAUUUUUCUAUCCAAACCACAACUUACAAGUGUAUAAUAAGUUCACAAACAACAAAUAAAAGAAGAACAAUGGAAAAUGCAUGAAUGAAAAUUUGAGACUUACUGAAAAGGAAGAGAGAAAGAGGUGAUUCAAGUAGAAAUUAGCAUACUAACAUUCAAAAGCGACUGGCAAUUUGAUCAGUAGUAGCAGACAAGCGUCAAAUGUUAGGGAAACGAGAGUUUAUGUUAAGGUUUAUGAAACUUUGGAUGUGAUUUGCUG